RNAcentral lists this ribosomal RNA (214 nucleotides) under uncultured bacterium. RNAcentral describes it as "partial 16S ribosomal RNA". It matches the Rfam family "Bacterial small subunit ribosomal RNA", at positions 120 to 334 of the family's 1533-position model. The record is from RNAcentral.
CGCAAUCUACCUUGUACAGGAGGAUAGCCCUGGGAAACUGGGAUUAAUACUCCAUAGUCUUCAAUGAUCGCAUGAGAAAUGAAGUAAAGCUACGGCGGUACAAGAUGAGCGUGCACCCCAUUAGAUUGUUGGUGAGGUAACGGCUCACCAAGUCGACGAUGGGUAGCUGGCGUGAGAGCGCGACCAGCCACACUGGCACUGAGACACGGGCCAG